GACGAACGCUGGCGGCGUGCUUAAUACAUGCAAGUCAACUUGACUUUAGAUAGCAAUAUCGAAAAGUAGGGUGGCGCACGGGUGCGUAACGCGUAGGUAAUCUGCCCUGAGGUCUGACAUAACCCGUCGAAAGGCGGGCUAACAUCAGAUGAUAUAUAAUCACGACAUCGUGGAAAUAUCAAAUCUUCGGAGCCUUGGGAUGAGCCUGCGUCUGAUUUAGGUAGUUGGCGGAGUAAUAGCCCACCAAGCCUACGAUCAGUAGCUGGUCUGAGAGGAUGAUCAGCCACACUGGAACUGAGACACGGUCCAGACUCCUACGGGAGGCAGCAGUAAGGAAUAUUGCUCAAUGGGGGAAACCCUGAA
This 363-nucleotide ribosomal RNA is filed under the name uncultured bacterium. Its description in RNAcentral is "bacterial SSU rRNA". It matches the Rfam family "Bacterial small subunit ribosomal RNA", at positions 28 to 387 of the family's 1533-position model. The record is from RNAcentral.